Molecule: ribosomal RNA, 548 nt
Filed under: uncultured Glomeromycotina
Lineage: Eukaryota; Fungi; Glomeromycota
Description: SSU rRNA
Rfam family: Eukaryotic small subunit ribosomal RNA
Source: RNAcentral
UUGGAGGGCAAGUCUGGUGCCAGCAGCCGCGGUAAUUCCAGCUCCAAUAGCGUAUAUUAAAGUUGUUGCAGUCAAAAAGCUCGUAGUUGAAUUUCGGGGUCAGUAGGCUGGUCGUGCCUCAGGUACGUACUGGUCUUACUGAUUCCUCCUUCCUGACGAACCGUAAUGCCAUUAAUUUGGUGUUGCGGGGAAUCUGGACUGUUACUUUGAAAAAAUUAGAGUGUUUAAAGCAGGCUAACGCUUGAAUACAUUAGCAUGGAAUAAUGAAAUAGGACGAUCGAUCCUAUUUUGUUGGUUUCUAGGAUUGACGUAAUGAUUAAUAGGGAUAGUUGGGGGCAUUAGUAUUCAAUUGUCAGAGGUGAAAUUCUUGGAUUUAUUGAAGACUAACUACUGCGAAAGCAUUUGCCAAGGAUGUUUUCAUUAAUCAAGAACGAAAGUUAGGGGAUCGAAGACGAUCAGAUACCGUCGUAGUCUUAACCAUAAACUAUGCCGACUAGGGAUCGGAUGAUGUUAAUUUUUUAAUGACUCAUUCGGCGCCUUACGGGAAA